AUGGGUCUGGGAGGCAUGAAAAGGCCCAAGGACACCACAUUCCAGGCCAAGAGCCUGAGGAGUCUUCGUUCUGUCAGUGUCCCCACCAUGGCUUGGACGGUGCUUCUGCUUGGGCUCCUUGCUUACGGCUCAGGUGUGGAUUCUCAGACUGUGGUGACACAGGAGCCAUCACUCUCAGUGUCUCCAGGAGGGACAGUCACACUCACCUGUGGCCUUAGCUCUGGGUCAGUCUCUACCAGUAAGUACCCCAGCUGGUUCCAGCAGACCCCAGGCCGGGCUCCCCAAAUGCUCAUCUACAACACAAACAACCGCCCCUCUGGGGUCCCUGACCGCUUCUCUGGAUCCAUCUCUGGGAACAAAGCCGCCCUCACCAUCACAGGGGCCCAGGCUGAGGACGAGGCUGACUAUUACUGUGCUCUGUAUAUGGGUAGUGGCAUUUACACAGUGAUGUAAACCCAUGGGGAAGUGCAACCAAAACCUCCUCAUAUGCUCAGAAUGGCUCAGCCUCACAGGCAGAAGGAAAGGAAGAGGCUGUCAAUGGU
This is a non-coding RNA of Hipposideros armiger (great roundleaf bat), 542 nucleotides long. Lineage: Eukaryota; Metazoa; Chordata; Mammalia; Chiroptera; Hipposideridae. The record is from the annotation of a RefSeq genome assembly.